RNAcentral lists this ribosomal RNA (433 nucleotides) under uncultured bacterium. Its description in RNAcentral is "partial 16S ribosomal RNA". It matches the Rfam family "Bacterial small subunit ribosomal RNA", at positions 29 to 507 of the family's 1533-position model. The record is from RNAcentral.
AACGAACGCUGGCGGCAUGCCUAACACAUGCAAGUCGAACGAGACCUUCGGGUCUAGUGGCGCACGGGUGCGUAACGCGUGGGAACCUGCCCUUAGGUUCGGAAUAACUCCCCGAAAGGGGUGCUAAUACCGGAUAAUGUCUUCGGACCAAAGAUUUAUCGCCUUUGGAUGGGCCCGCGUUGGAUUAGCUAGUUGGUAGGGUAAAAGCCUACCAAGGCGACGAUCCAAAGCUGGUCUGAGAGGAUGAUCAGCCACACUGGGACUGAGACACGGCCCAGACUCCUACGGGAGGCAGCAGUGGGGAAUACUGGACGAUGGGCGAAAGCCUGAUCCAGCAAUGCCGCGUGAGUGAGGAAGGCGUUAGGGUUGUAAAGCUGUUUUACCCGGGAUGAUAAUGACAGUACCGGGAGAAUAAGCUCCGGCUAACUACGUG